GACCCGGGUGAGGUUGGCGGCCAGGCCUCAGACUCCGUGUGUGGGACAUGUGCUGUCCGGGAGCCAGAAGCUGACCUUCCUGAAGGCUCCUGCUUAUCUGAUUUCAUCCCUGGAGCAGCCAUGUGACACAGCCGUGAUUUCCCUCUCGUCACUGAAGGAGCUGUAGUUAUUAAGUGACCUAGCCAAGGUCAUGCGCAGGAGAGGACAGAACCUCAGAAGGUCCGGAUUCUCUGCUUCUGGGCUGAGGCGCUGCCAGCCGCCGACCUUUGCGUGUGCAGAGGUGCGCUGCGGCCUUGGGUGGGAUCUCAGGCUUCCCCAGCAGAUCUGUGCGGAUGCUGGGGCCUCGCCCAACACGGGAUGCGUCACCUGUGGCUGGCUGAUGGACAGCACCUGCGGGCUAGGGGGAAACAUGGAGACCCUGGAAAGCUGGCUUCAGCUCUGUCCUUGGUCCCCCAGGCGACUUGUGGAGGGAAGCCUUGCCGUGCAGUGGGAUCUAGAGGAAGUCCUAAACUGGGGAGAGCCUGGAGCCUGGAACAGGAACCGCUUUCCCCUGCAGGGAGGACUUCUGCCCUGACCAGAGUCCAGGCCCUGAUGUUCUUUGCAUAUGAAAGUUGUGCCUCAGUGUCUGGCGGGUCGGGUCCCACAGCCACAGUGCUGAGUCCCUGCCGUGGAAUGGCAGAGCAUUUACAUUUAACCUACACA
This 702-nucleotide long non-coding RNA is filed under the name Heterocephalus glaber (naked mole-rat). RNAcentral describes it as "lncRNA (ENSHGLG00100032891.1)". The record is from RNAcentral. Lineage: Eukaryota; Metazoa; Chordata; Mammalia; Rodentia; Bathyergidae.